RNAcentral lists this ribosomal RNA (763 nucleotides) under uncultured bacterium. RNAcentral's name for it is "bacterial SSU rRNA". It matches the Rfam family "Bacterial small subunit ribosomal RNA", at positions 62 to 873 of the family's 1533-position model. The record is from RNAcentral.
UCGAACGCAGUAGCAAUACUGAGUGGCAAACGGGUGAGUAUAAUGUGGGAAUCUGCCUUUUGGUUUGGAAUAACACGGGGAAACUUGUGCUAAUACCGAAUAAGCCUUUACGGGGAAAGUUUUAACGCCGAAAGAUGAGCCUGCACUUGAUUAGCUAGUUGGUAAGGUAAAGGCUUACCAAGGCAAUGAUCAAUAGCUGUUCUUAGAGGAAGACCAGCCACAUUGGGACUGAGACACGGCCCAGACUCCUACGGGAGGCAGCAGUGGGGAAUCUUGCACAAUGGGGGAAACCCUGAUGCAGCGAUGCCGCGUGAGUGAAGAAGGCCCUUGGGUUGUAAAACUCUUUCGUCGGGGAAGAAAAUGACUGUACCCGAAUAAGAAGGUCCGGCUAACUUCGUGCCAGCAGCCGCGGUAAUACGAAGGGACCUAGCGUAGUUCGGAAUUACUGGGCUUAAAGAGCUCGUAGGUGGUUAAAAAAGUUGAUGGUGAAAUCCCAAGGCUCAACCUUGGAACUGCCAUCAAAACUUUUUAGCUAGGGUGUGAUAGAGGUAAGUGGAAUUUCUAGUGUAGAGGUGAAAUUCGUAGAUAUUAGAAAGAACACCAAAUGCGAAGGCAACUUACUGGGUCACUACUGACACUGAGGAGCGAAAGCAUGGGUAGCGAAGAGGACUAGAUACCCUCGUAGUCCAUGCCGUAAACGAUGUGUGCUAGACGUUGGAAAUAUAUUUUUCAGUGUCGCAGCGAAAGCAUUAAGCACACCGCC